GGUUGUGGCUCAGCGGUAAAGUGCUUGCCUAGCACAUGUGAGGCCCUGGGUUCGAUUCUCAGCACCA
RNAcentral lists this transfer RNA (67 nucleotides) under Marmota monax (woodchuck). RNAcentral describes it as "tRNA.Ala". The record is from RNAcentral. Lineage: Eukaryota; Metazoa; Chordata; Mammalia; Rodentia; Sciuridae.